GCGGAAGUGGCUCAGUGGUAGAGCAUCUCGUUGCCAACGAGAGGGUCACGGGUUCGAAUCCCGUCUUCCGCUCCA
RNAcentral lists this transfer RNA (75 nucleotides) under Chloroflexota bacterium. RNAcentral describes it as "tRNA-Gly". It matches the Rfam family "tRNA". Rfam says of the family: Transfer RNA (tRNA) molecules are approximately 80 nucleotides in length. Their secondary structure includes four short double-helical elements and three loops (D, anti-codon, and T loops). The record is from RNAcentral. Lineage: Bacteria; Bacillati; Chloroflexota.